Molecule: ribosomal RNA, 569 nt
Filed under: uncultured bacterium
Lineage: Bacteria
Description: partial 16S ribosomal RNA
Rfam family: Bacterial small subunit ribosomal RNA
Source: RNAcentral
UGGGGAAUUUUGGACAAUGGGCGAAAGCCUGAUCCAGCAAUGCCGCGUGUGUGAAGAAGGCCUUCGGGUUGUAAAGCACUUUUGUCCGGAAAGAAAUCCUUGGCUCUAAUACAGUCGGGGGAUGACGGUACCGGAAGAAUAAGCACCGGCUAACUACGUGCCAGCAGCCGCGGUAAUACGUAGGGUGCAAGCGUUAAUCGGAAUUACUGGGCGUAAAGCGUGCGCAGGCGGUUUGCUAAGACCGAUGUGAAAUCCCCGGGCUCAACCUGGGAACUGCAUUGGUGACUGGCAGGCUAGAGUAUGGCAGAGGGGGGUAGAAUUCCACGUGUAGCAGUGAAAUGCGUAGAGAUGUGGAGGAAUACCGAUGGCGAAGGCAGCCCCCUGGGCCAAUACUGACGCUCAUGCACGAAAGCGUGGGGAGCAAACAGGAUUAGAUACCCUGGUAGUCCACGCCCUAAACGAUGUCAACUAGUUGUUGGGGAUUCAUUCUUAGUAACGUAGCUAACGCGUGAAGUUGACCGCCUGGGGAGUACGGUCGCAAGAUUAAAACUCAAAGGAAUUGACGGGGU